Molecule: long non-coding RNA, 470 nt
Organism: Apis florea (little honeybee)
Lineage: Eukaryota; Metazoa; Arthropoda; Insecta; Hymenoptera; Apidae
Source: RefSeq, a predicted model, not a curated record
CAACCAAUCAGAAAGUCGCUAAGAUCUAACCUGGAGAAAUGGAUCAAUGCGCAUUAUAAUGCGCAUAUUAUCCAGUCUACAGUUGAAAAUCGUAGUGAUAGGUCGUGUUCCAUUGUUAAAGGUGCAUAAUUACAUAAAAUUUAUAUUUAAUUUAUAAAAUAUAUUGUUACACGAUUAUUAAACUUAAAUUUUAUUACGAUUAUUAAAUUUUAUAUAAUUAAUACGAAUUUGUUUAAUCAUAAUCGUUUGUGUAAUCAUGAUUUUAAAUUUUAUAAUUAUCGUUCAAUUGAAACUUCGAAGACAGAAUAACUCUAAAAGUGUAAUAGUUUUUGUUCAAGAAAUAAUAAGAUGAUUUUCAAAUAUAUGAUUUGCAAAUAUAAUAAAUAACCGAUUGCUGAUUAAGUUCGAAAAAGGGAUUUUCAAUAUGUUUUAAGAGAAAGAGAAGUAAAGCUUAAAUUUCUAUAUAGAAA